Long non-coding RNA from Betta splendens (Siamese fighting fish), 3437 nucleotides. RefSeq lists it as uncharacterized. The transcript is spliced from 6 exons. The record is from RefSeq and is a predicted model, not a curated record. Lineage: Eukaryota; Metazoa; Chordata; Actinopteri; Anabantiformes; Osphronemidae.
GGAGGCACCGUUGCACUCUGACAGGAGCCAUCAUGGGGAGAGCUCUGAUACAAACCACCCUCUUUGGUCUGUUUCUGACUUUGGUCACCUCAUUACCAAAUAAAGAUGACUGAGACAUCUACAGCUUUCACAUCAACUCCACAGUGACCAGUCGUUACGCUACAACAGUCAUCACAAGCCGUGUGGCCAAUCGAAUGAACGAAUCCAAGGAAGUAGAAUUCCAAGUGCGGAUUCCCAAGAAUGCCUUCAUCAGUAAAUUCAGAAUGUGUGUGAAAUAUUUACGUAGGUUUACACAUGAACAAUAAAAGAGUACGAACUGCAAAUCCAUGCUCGGCCGAUGCAGCCUGUCAGCGACUUCUAGGUUGAUGUGUACAUUGAUGAAAAGGCCGGCAUCAGUUUCCUGGAGGUUAAAGGUGGACUAAGCACCAAAGCUCUGGCUAAUGCCAUCACCAAAACACUGACAGACAAACAGGAAUUGGUGCUGGUGCUGGUAGUGCUGGAAGAGCAGGUACUGUAUUAUUUUUCUUUUAAUAUUCUUUUUAUGUACAGUAACUACACUAUAUGUCCUAAUGUUCCCUAGUUGAUACCAACUUAAAUGUAGCAAAGACCAUAUUAAGUCCCUAUUUACAAAAACAUAGCUGAAAUCACUAACAGUACGAAAAGUCAAGGUACCCGCACUUUCUUUCAUACAGGAGGUGUAAAUAGCGGAAAACCCAAAAAUGUUCUUGAGAUUUACAUUAGAAACACUUGUUUUAUGUCUUAUUAGAGCACAUCUCAUUAGUAUCAUUAACAAUAUUUAAACAGGUACAUUAAAAUUGUUACCAACUGUCAGGUUUUCGUUCUUGGUUUCAUUUUGAAAGGACUUUUCUGUUUUUGAUUCCAGUUUCCGGUUUUAUUUUGUAAGCACUUCCGUUUCUUGUCACACCACAGCAGUUCCCGCUUCACUCCCGGUCCUCAUUACACACACCUGUUUUGUAUCAGUAAUCAACUUCUUGCAUUUAACCACCACCUGUCGCCUUAGUUCUCCGCCAGAUCGUCGUACUUAUGUCAGUCAGUACCUACCAGCGUUUCACCGUCCUACCUGUUUGUGUCUCGACCCCGCUUCGUGUUCCUGACUCCCGAUUCCUGCCUGCUCCUUACCGGUACUGUAAACCUUAUCAAUCCUGUUGCCGAACCCUUGCCUGUCCCUGGACUUGUUUUUUGCCUGCGUCUGUUGUACCUCAACCUGAGAUAAAGUGUGUUUGACCUGGACCGUCUGUUAUAAGGAGUUCUGCAUUAAAGCCGUAAAUUUCACCCUCUGUCUGACGUCUCGGUGCUGUGCACGUGGUCCGAUCUUUGCCAAAACCUGACACCAACAUCUUUCAAAAUAAACAAAUGUUACAUCUUAUAUCAAUACAUCUUAACCCAUCUAAUAGAAAUUUUCUUAUCUUACUGUGAAUGUUUCUUUUUUUAUUAACUAAUGUAGUUGAUGUAUUUAUGGCAUUUUUUAAGGUGCUGCAGAUUAUGAUGUUUCCUAUUAUAACAGUAAUGUAUGAUGUAUUGUAUGUAGGAUUAUGGUGGAGAGUAGGUAUUGUAUUUUUUUUUCUUUUAAUACUCUUGUGAUAUACAGUAGCUUUUAUUUAACAUUAUGCAUGUGCACAGAUCUGUUGAUGUUCUCUGACUGAUAUCCUCUUAAAUGCGUAGCAAAGAUCAGAAACCCAUAUUUGCAAGAACAUAACUGAAAUCCUUAGUGUGAAAUCAUUAUUGCUGCAUACUUUAACUGUACACAAACACUCACACAAGACCAAAGGUGUUAGUGUCUUUCCACAAGAUAUCAUCUUAAUUCAUUCAGAUUCAUUAUAUCUUAAUGAAUCUAAUAGAAAAUUUCUUAUCUUACUGUAAAUGUUACUUUUUUAUUAACUCAUGUAUUUGAUGUAUUUAUGGCAUGCGUUUUGGGUCAACAACCUCUACUGGUACAAUUAAAAUUAUUUUUUUAAUGAAGGAUUUAUAAAAUAAUGAUGCACAACAUUUAAUAUAUUAUAAUGAAAAUAUUGUGUGAUGGAGCCAUAAAGCUGUGUUUACAUGUGACAUCAUUUGAAUGGUUUAUAAACAUAUGUCUUACUGCAAUAUUUUGUUUGUUUUGUCAGUAAUGAUAUCUGCUGAUGAUCUCCCCUCAGAGGCUGCUAGUACAAUAAGAUUUUACUCCAAAAUUUCUUAAAUAAAGGACCAAACAAAGGCCUUCACAACAUUUAAAGGGAUGUAAAAAGCCUGUGGUUAAAUGUAAAUGGUGAGGAAUAAUAUUUUAUCUAGCUGUAGAUGGAUAUAUUUAUAUAUUUAAUUUUUAAGAAAUAUUUAUGUAUACAGCCAUGUAUGCAGCUUUUGGUUUACAGAAGUUUGGGAUUAUGCGCCUACAAAAGUCACUGCUAUAGUGUUUUAGCUUCAUAAAAAUGUUAUUUUUGUUUGAAUCAUCAAAUAUAGUUACUUUUAAAUUGUGAAAUCACACACUGAAACUGAAAUACAUCAAUAAUAAUGUGCAUACAAUUAAAUAUAUGUGUAUGUGUAAAUGGAUAGCAGUCUGAUCACUUGGCCCAAUCCUAGCCUAAAACUUCUUCACCAUCCCAGUGAGGGUCAGUACAACAUUUCUUGUAAUUUCAUUGUUUCUUUAUUAUUUUAAACUACAGAACUAAUAAAAUAUUUAUUGUUUUCCAUAAAAAGGUAAUUUAUAGACAGAUGUAUUCCCAAAUUUCAGUUGGGAACACAUCUGUCAAACAUUUCAGACAUCUGUUUUCUUUUUAACAGAGCUAUCUGUGUUUGAUCAUCUUGAUUCAAUGAAAAACAGAGGCUUUAAAAUAAUUGGCAUCCAUUUAAAAAAUGGCCAGUUUGUUGAGAUCACCACAGUUGGCAUCAAUGUAAGACAAUCGUCAGGAGAUAUGCGCUCCUCUGAACGGAACCCUGAGCGAGUAGUCAAAGGACCUCCUUUAUCUCUAACUUGUCUAACAGCUGCUUUCUACCCUCCCUUAUAGUGUGUUAAUGACUAUUGGUGCAGUGUAUAACAGGAAAAAUGUUGGACAAGCUUUGUACUGUAUUUAUGUAUUUUUUCCAGCAUUACAGUGACUGGACGAGACAAGGAAUUUGAUGUUGCCGUUGGAGACACUCGCAUGGUCGUCUUAAUUCAUGAGGUGGAUGGUAACAAAUUCCGUUGGCCGGUUUUAAGACAGAAGCUGUCGGACAACAACAUUGAUGGAAUUUUAGUUCUAAAGCCAGCAGUUUAUGAGGAGUUGCAGCAAAGUCCCUCCACAAAGCUGAAGAUCAGAGAUCAGGAGAUUGUUGUCACCAGAUCCAGUGCUGUUGACUACAGUAUUUCUGCUGCCCCAACACUGGACUGCUGGUUCAUGUCUGCUGAGUCCGCUCUGCAGAGAAGCCUGGAUGAUUUCACUGUUUAAUCACCAGAAAUAUAA